UACAGUCGGAACCCGCUCGUUGAGCCACAACCUCUACCCAACCAACGAAUUCGAUUCGCUAGUUGGGUGAAGUGACAGCAGCACAAGGGGCGUGCGCAUUGUUUUUUUUUAAAUCAUGUUUAGGUUGGAAGCAAAAAGGAAAAUUUUUCAAUUUGUUUUACAUUUAGAGCAAAACUGAUACGUUUUGCAAGAUACAUAUAUGGCCAAUGCGAGAAAUAAUUAUUUUCACCCAUUUUUAGUCGGUGAAGUGAAAAUAUAGAUGUUUAUGAAACCACCCGGACCGAAAGCAAGCACAAAACGCUUUCAAUGAUCGACAAAAUAAAGAUUGCCGAUGUUUUGCAUUUGUCUCGAAGUAA
Aedes albopictus (Asian tiger mosquito) is the source of this 356-nucleotide long non-coding RNA. RefSeq lists it as uncharacterized. The transcript is spliced from 2 exons. The record is from RefSeq and is a predicted model, not a curated record. Lineage: Eukaryota; Metazoa; Arthropoda; Insecta; Diptera; Culicidae.